This 359-nucleotide long non-coding RNA is filed under the name Phoenix dactylifera (date palm). Its description in RNAcentral is "long non-coding RNA (PDAC_LNC000554)". Lineage: Eukaryota; Viridiplantae; Streptophyta; Magnoliopsida; Arecales; Arecaceae. The record is from RNAcentral.
CACGGGCACGGCCGCCCGCAGCAAACCGGUUCUGGGCACUUGGGCCGGCACGGUUCGGGGGCAGGCGGUGGCGGAGGAGCCGGUUUCGGCGGAGGCGGUGGCGGCGGAGCAGGUUUGGGUGGAGGCGGUGGGGGCGGAGCGGGUUUGGGCGGAGGUGGUGGGGGUGGAGCCGGUUCGGGCUUCGGCGGUGGGGGCGGAGCCGGUUUGGGCGGAGGUGGUGGCGGUGGAGCCGGUUCGGGCUUCGGCGGUGGUGGAGGAGGGGGCUUGUCUUCCUUGAUUUUGAUGUCUUUUAUCACCUUGCAAGCCUUGCACCAGAGCUUCUUGGAGAGGUAGUGAGGGUCGAAGGGGCCGGAGAUGGU